AUACGGAGGAUCCGAGCGUUAUCCGGAUUUAUUGGGUUUAAAGGGUGCGCAGGCGGGAUGUUAAGUCGGCGGUGAAAUUUUGCAGCUCAACUGUAAAAGUGCCUUCGAUACUGGGUUUUUUGAGUGGGGAUGAAAUAGGCGGAAUUUGUGGUGUAGCGGUGGAAUGCUUCGAUAUCACGAGGAACUCCGAUUGCGCAGGCAGCUUACUAAACCACUACUGACGCUCAUGCACGAAGGCGUGGGGAUCAAACAGGAUUAGAUACCCUGGUAGUCCACGCAGUAAACGAUGAUUACUAGUUGUUUGCGAUACAAUGUAAGCGACUGAGCGAAAGCGUUAAGUAAUCCACCUGGGGAGUACGUUCGCAAGAAUGAAACUCAAAGGAAUUGGCGGGG
Molecule: ribosomal RNA, 393 nt
Filed under: uncultured bacterium
Lineage: Bacteria
Description: partial 16S ribosomal RNA
Rfam family: Bacterial small subunit ribosomal RNA
Source: RNAcentral